Molecule: ribosomal RNA, 253 nt
Filed under: uncultured bacterium
Lineage: Bacteria
Description: partial 16S ribosomal RNA
Rfam family: Bacterial small subunit ribosomal RNA
Source: RNAcentral
UACGAAGGGGGCUAGCGUUGCUCGGAAUCACUGGGCGUAAAGCGCACGUAGGCGGACUCUUAAGUCAGGGGUGAAAUCCUGGAGCUCAACUCCAGAACUGCCCUUGAUACUGGGAGCCUUGAGUUCGGGAGAGGUGAGUGGAACUGCGAGUGUAGAGGUGAAAUUCGUAGAUAUUCGCAAGAACACCAGUGGCGAAGGCGGCUCCCUGGCCCGAUACUGACGCUGAGGUGCGAAAGCGUGGGGAGCAAACAGG